GCAGUUGUAUUUGGUGGAAGUUGGAAGCUCGAGCGGCUCACGGCGAAAAGGAAAGGCGUUCCUCCCUCUCUCUCCCUCUCUCCCACUCUCUCUCUCUCCCUCACACACACUCCCUCUCUCUCUCACUCUCACUCCGGCGCUUGGACAGUGGAAUUAUGAGCAGAGCUGACCCAGCCUGAGCCUCUACCACCCUGUCUUCGAUCCUUUACCGCUUUCACUCUGAGAGAAAUUAAAAGCCGACCAUGGAGAUCGGAGUCCGCAUCCUCUUGGCUUUCCUCGUGCACCAGGUUGCCCAUGUGGGCGGCCAAGAGGAUGGAGGCCACACGGGCUGUGUGCCUGGCUUCCAGGUCAAACAUUACCAGGUGGUGUACAGUGGACCUUUCCAGAAAGGCCAGCCGCUCGCACAAGUCGAGUUCGAUGACUGCGCAGGGAACGACGACGUGGCGUUCGAAGUCUCGGAUCCCAGCUUCGAGGUGGACGGGGAUUUGAACCUGGUCCCGCGUCGGGACGUCCUGCACAGCCCACCGGUCCUUUUCAUCCACGGCAUCAGCACGCACGCGGAUGACGUGGCACAGCUGGCCAUCACUGGACAGUCGCCGCACACACUCAGGAAUAUCCUGGGUCUUGGCCAGACGCGGCCAUACAGACACAAGAGAGCCUUGCUGGUCCCUCCUAUGAUCGUAACUGAGAACCAGAGAGCUCCCUUUCCUCGAAUCAUUGGCAGGUCUCAUGUGUUUUUGCCGGAGAAGUUAGGCAGCCGCAUCUUCCGACUGACAGGCCCGGGAGCUGAUCACGAUCCCAGAGGUCUCUUCAUCAUCGAUAUGGACACAGGAGAGGUGUCAGUCAGCCGCUCACUGGACCGGGAGGCCGUGGACUCUUACCAGCUCGAAGUAUCAACCACGGACUUUGCCGGAAACCUUGUUGACGGCCCCACCUUACUACUGAUCACUGUCAUCGACCAAAAUGACAACCGGCCCAUCUUCAAAGAGUCACGCUACACAGGAGAAGUGCUCGAGGGAUCCCCUACAGGCACCACAGUGAUGAGAAUGACGGCUUUCGACGCGGACGACCCCGCCACGGACAACGCGGCGUUGCGCUACAACAUCGUCAGACAGUCGCCUGACAAACCGUCACCGAACAUGUUCUACAUCGAUGCAGAGAAAGGCGACAUUGUCACCGUCAUCUCCCCCAUACUGCUCGAUCGAGAGACGCUGCCAACCACGACGUACGAGUUAGAGAUCGUGGCAAAGGACAUGGCAGGGAGUGAAGUGGGCCUCACGGGAACAGCCACUGCUACCAUUACCAUCACAGACAAGAACGACCACGCGCCCGAGUUCACGCAUCCGCUGUUCGAGGCGACUGUGAAUGAGGGAUCGACAGGGGUCGUGGUCAACCUCACAGUGGACGACCGAGACGACCCUGCCACGGAGGCGUGGAGAGCCAUUUACUCGAUAAUCAACGGAGAUCCGACUCAGAGCUUUGAGAUUCAAACCAAUCCAGACAAUAAUGAAGGGAUGCUUUCUGUUAUCAAGCCUCUGGACUAUGAGGCCACAGCGUUCCACACGCUACUCAUCAAAGUAGAGAAUGAGGACCCUCUGGUUCCCGAUGUCGGCUAUGGCCCCAGCUCCACGGCCACUGUCCACGUCACGGUGCUGGACGUCAACGAGGGCCCCAUCUUCUUCCCCGAUCCCCUCAGAGUCACCAGGAUGGAGAACAUCCCCAUUGGCAGCUUUGUGGCCUCUCUCAACGCAACAGAUCCAGACAUAUUACAGAUUCAGAACAUCAGGUACGCUGUUCUGCGAGACCCAGCAGGCUGGCUCAGCGUGAACCCAGUAAAAGGAACUGUCAACACUUCAGCCUCACUGGACCGUGAGUCUCCUUAUGUCCACGACAACAAAUACACAGCUGUCUUCAUCGCCACAGAUAACGGCUUCCCUUCAGCCACAGGCACCGGCUCGUUGGUUAUCCACCUGGAAGACUACAAUGACAACGCCCCCUAUGUGGUGCCGUCGGUAGCGCGAGUAUGUGAAGAUGCCCAUGACAUGAACGUCGCGAUAGUCGGGGGACGGGACAAGGACCUUCCACCCAAUGGCGCGCCCUUCAAGAUAGAGCUGGGGAAACAGCCCGGUCUAGACAAAACAUGGAGGGUUACCAGGGUCAACUCCACACACUCCCAGAUCAUGCUUUUGCACAGUCUGAAGAAAGCCAACUACCAGCUUCCGUUGCUCAUCACCGACUCAGGGGUCCCCCCUUUGUCCAACAACACAGAGGUCAAAGUUCAGGUGUGCGUCUGUAAGAAGAACAAGAUGCACUGCAGCUCCGCCUACUCCCACCACGCCAGCCUUCUUGUGCUGCCCGUGACACUCCUGCUCACCCUACUCUGAGAAGACACAGCAGCCUGGAAGAGGAGGCCAUAUUUGUGCUAGCUGAAAAAGAUGUAAGAAUGUGCAAAACUGUGCAGAUAGGAUCAAAUAACAACACAGCUGCUACCUGGCUGGGGGUGCGCGGAGUGCCGUGAAGCAAGUUGUGUUCCUCACGAGGCCCGAGACUUCACUCUUCCUGAUUCUGAGGACUCCGGGUCGGCGGCCCUCAAAGGACAAGCGCGUGUAUAAAUGUGUACGAUCUGUAUUAGAGUGUAUACAUUUGUAUGAUGUGUAUUAGUGUGUAUAAAUCCAAUCUUACCAUUCAGAAAAGAGUAAUUAUUAUUGAAUUGUCAGCUGUUUUUUUUUUUUUUACUUUUUAAGCACACUAUUUGUAGAAUCUGCCUCGGGUCAUUUUGAAAACCUGUUAGUCAUGCCCAAAUGAUAUGAACUUGCACACUGAUUCCAAACAGAAGGCAAACAGCAUGUUUACACAGAGAGUGAUUUCAGCUGAAUUUUUGCAUCCAUCUCUUGCGCGUCUCCCAGAACAGAUGCUCCCCUACUUUAAUCAAUCCAGCUGUCUACACAGGCCACAUAACAGCCCGUGUUUACAGAGGUGGAACAUAUUUUCCUUUUCUUUUUUUACAUUUUGAGGCUUCUCUUUUUGCUGCAUUUGAACAGAGGUGACUCAGUACAGUGCCUGUAAGCACCCCCUGUGUAGAGACACACACAGUGCUGGAACUGCUGCCGCUCUGCUAAUAUGCUGCUCCUGCUACGCCCACUGUGCACACACAUGGAAAGCAGUCACAGAAUUCAGCAGCACUCGCCAAAGUGAAUUAUGAAUGGACUGCUCUCAGUCUGCAACGUGAGAGACCUGCUUUACCAUAAAUCACUUGGUCAUAUUAAGACACAACCUGUCACGCAUCCUGUAAAUAUUUGAAAUGAAAAAUCCCUCUCUUUCCUUUGUCGUCCUGUACUACAUGUGAAAGUCUUUUGAACUCUUUUGGAGCAUUCGGUGCAGCUGUAUUAUAUUUGGGUGUGUGUUGUGCGAAAAGCUCUUUUGGGAGCAUUUUUAUCGAAUUUUGCUCUGACUGGGUCAUUACAACAGAUGGAUUUUUGUCAAUCUGUUGGGGAUUUACUUCAGUCUUUAGAGACAAACAUCCACUGAGGUUAGCUGUCUUAAGAGCUCAAUAUUUUCUCAGGUGGUACUUGGUAUAAAAGGUUUGAGAGCCACUGCCUUAAGAUACCUUGAUAAUCUCCAAUUCACCCCUAAAUUGGAGUAUACUUGGCAGAGUUGGCGGCAUUGUGAUGUCAAGGGCAUAGGUUUGGUUACAAGACACAAACUUGGUUCCCUGAUAAGGAAGGCAUGCUUUGCAGUUAGCAUAUUGUCAUCACCUUAAUGGAGACCUUAACCAGCUCUAGUGAUGACUUAAAAGCUGUUAUAGCAGCUAUUUUUACUUCACAGAGGCAGUUCAUGCUUUUGGAGUCAUCUUAGCUGCAGCGUACAAACAGAACCAUCUCGUCAAAAGUGUGUCUGUCGUUGGAUUUAUGUAUUACAGUUCUACCAAUUACAGUUUGGCCCAAGCUGUUAAUCUUCUAAUGGUUAUUUCUAGUAUGAUAAUGACACUUUACAAAGUAAAACAAAGUGAGUCUCAAAUGCUUUUCUGAAUGUGACAAAUAGUUCACUGAAAUUCACUGAACACCUUGGGAUGUGGUGGAAAAAAUAGAUUUGAAGCAUUUGUUAUUUCCUUAGAUGUAGUAUUGUGAUUUUUUUUUUGUAUGUGUUCUGUUUUGUUUUUUUACCUGCAGCUAUGCUGUGAUGUGAACAUGGUUCAGAUAAGAUGUUGUAUUUCAAUGAGACUUUCCUGGCUAAGUAAAGGAUAAAUAAAAUGAAAAAAAAUACAGCAUCAUCCCAACAGUUUAUGCCAUAAAUGCAGUUUCUUUUUAUUACUUUGGUGUUGUGUUUUAAUCGUGUGUGGCUUUCUUUUUUUCUUUUUUUUGCAGUCCCUACUUUGUUUUUGGUGACUCACCUUUUCUGCACUUCCUGUUCCUGGUCUUUUCCUGCCAUUUGUCUGAUCACAACCACUUCCUGUCCCUGUUGUUUUUACCUGGUCAACCUGUGUAUAUAUAAGCUAAUAUUCGCCACAUGUUCCAGCCAGGUUGUCCUUGUUCCCUGGGUGAUUUACCUGUUAACCUUGUAAUCUUAUAGUUUUUGUUUUUUGGAUUUUUACGUCAUCUGAUUUGGACUUUACCUGUUGCGCUGGAUUUCACUGUUAUGAUUUUGGACUGGAGUUUGUUUUCCGAUAGCUAUGUAGCUGAAUUUACUUUACCAUGAAAUGACAUUACGUUAGCAUGCUUGCCUUCAAAAGAAUCAGUGUAGCUACGAAUGAUUACAAAUCAUAAAUUUGAUGGGAGUUAAAAAGGAACACGGUCUCUGAUCACCAGCCCUUUGCCACAUACAACAAUCCAACACAAACCAGUUUGCUCUGUUGAGAUACAUAUACCGUCAUGCCGAUGAAUGGAGAAUAAAAAUAGAUUGCACUCUCUAUAAGCGGCGUCCAUUUAAUUUCAAUGCAAUCUACCGUCGGUAGAACUUGAAUCUCAGUUAGACGCAAAGCCACAGAGGCACGGAAGGAAAUGAAGAGAUAAAGACAGAAAAGGAGCCUUAGGAAAGGUGUCUGAUGUAAAGUAGUUGAAACAUGAAGAGGCUGAAGAAUAAAAGGGACACUGCAUAGAGGAGCCACUUUUCCUGAUUACAGCUUCAUGGCUUUCUGAAAGAGAGGAACAGAGUGACACACAAUCAUCUCCCUGCCUUCUCACAUUUGGAAAUGGAGUUGCAAGUUCUUGGGCAAAAUCUCAUUUGUGUUUUUUUUUUUCGUUUGUUUGUCUCCCUCUUUCUUGUUUCUCGACCUUUUUGCAUUAUGGAUUUCCUUAGCAUUUAAUCCCCUCCGUCAGUAAUCAUUUGCAUUGUAAAUAAUUCAGUUCAACAUUAAGUAAGGAGGGCUUUUCCUCGGGUGUUUCGUCUGGGUCAGCUCGUGGGUUUGAAUGGAAUUAAUAGUAUUUUACUGCAAAACAACAAAACUCCCUGGAACUGCCUGAAGUCUUCUCUACACUUAUAACUCAUUUCUUUUCUCUUCUUCCCCUCAUCCCCUUUUCCUCUCCUCAUUGUCUCCCCUCUGCUGACUUUGUAUAUUUGCCUGCUUUGCCUUAUAUUGGUUAAGCUGUCCAUGGCCGAGUAGCAACAAGGUUGUUUGUGAUGUCGCUAAGGUUGGAUGGAAGACGGCGAGAGGCUUGAUAGACCCAUUAAUGUUCCUUUUGGUCUUCCAUUUCAAGGCUGCACAAACACUUUAAUCUGUUUGUGUGUGUGUGUGUGUGUGUGUGUGAGAGAGAGAGAGAGA
RNA transcript from Solea senegalensis (Senegalese sole), 5758 nucleotides. It is a transcript of the gene named cadherin 13, H-cadherin (heart), with no coding region annotated. The transcript is spliced from 17 exons. The record is from RefSeq and is a predicted model, not a curated record. NCBI's taxonomy places the organism in Eukaryota, Metazoa, Chordata, Actinopteri, Pleuronectiformes, Soleidae.